This 425-nucleotide ribosomal RNA is filed under the name uncultured bacterium. RNAcentral's name for it is "partial 16S ribosomal RNA". It matches the Rfam family "Bacterial small subunit ribosomal RNA", at positions 354 to 796 of the family's 1533-position model. The record is from RNAcentral.
GUGGGGAAUAUUGGACAAUGGGCGCAAGCCUGAUCCAGCCAUGCCGCGUGAGUGAUGAAGGCCUUCGGGUUGUAAAGCUCUUUAGCCGAUGAUUAUAAUGACUGUAGUCGGAAAAUAAGCCCCGGCUAACUUCGUGCCAGCAGCCGCGGUAAUACGAAGGGGGCGAGCGUUAUUCGGAAUCACUGAGCGUAAAGCGUGCGUAGGCGGCUUUGCAAGUUGGGAGUAAAAGCCCAGGGCUCAACCCUGGAAUUGCUCUCAAAACUGCAAGGCUCGAAUUCGGGAGAGGAUAGCGGAAUUGUCAGUGUAGCAGUGAAAUGCGUAGAUAUUGACAGGAACACCAGUGGCGUAAGCGGCUAUCUGGACCGAUAUUGACGCUGAGGCACGAAAGCGUGGGGAUCAAACAGGAUUAGAAACCCCGGUAGUCC